GAUAUUGUAGUUUAUUAAAGAAUGUUGGUUUUGUAAGUCAAAGGAGGGCUAGAGGGGUCUUGAUAUCA
RNAcentral lists this transfer RNA (68 nucleotides) under Cucullaea labiata. RNAcentral's name for it is "tRNA-Thr". Lineage: Eukaryota; Metazoa; Mollusca; Bivalvia; Arcoida; Cucullaeidae. The record is from RNAcentral.